Molecule: non-coding RNA, 558 nt
Organism: Heterocephalus glaber (naked mole-rat)
Lineage: Eukaryota; Metazoa; Chordata; Mammalia; Rodentia; Bathyergidae
Source: RefSeq, a predicted model, not a curated record
UGGUCCCAUUGGUUCGGCUACCCCUCUAUCUCGAAUCUUCAUUGGCACCGUCUUUCGACGGCACCACCCCUUCCGCAUUAUAAACUCCUAGGUACGUGUUGAUUGGUCUGAAGUUCCUCUUUCCAUUUUCCCAGCGAGACCCCACCCCUGGAGAACCCAUGGCUACCUGGGUGGGAUGUGACUUUGAGGGGCACGGCAGGCCAGGCCAAGUUGGUGAUCAAGGAAUUGAAAGCAGGGGAUGAGGGCACCGCAGGGGUACAUCUGAAGCACCAGCAGUGCCUGAUACAGGGCAGAACUCAAUUUUUGUUAAACAGCAUGCCCUGUGGGCAGCCCCUGAAGCGGUGCUUGAAAGGAGGACUGAUAGCAGAGUUGAAGGGGAGAAUCCGAAGCUCUGGGGGAAAUUCAGGUGAAUCAGAACUGUGUCACCCCAAGAGAGUAAACGUGGGAUGGUGGAAAUAUUCUCACCGUUAUGCGGCCCAGGGAGUCACAUGCCCUAGAAAAGCAAGGGGGUGCGUUCAUAAUCACAAAUGGAGCCGACAGGUCAAGGACACCAAAGAU